GCCUGGCUGGCUCAGUAGGUGGAGCAUGCGACUCUUGAUCUUGGCAUUGUGAGUUCAAGUCUCAUGUUGGGUA
This 73-nucleotide transfer RNA is filed under the name Felis catus (domestic cat). It matches the Rfam family "tRNA". From Rfam's summary of the family: Transfer RNA (tRNA) molecules are approximately 80 nucleotides in length. Their secondary structure includes four short double-helical elements and three loops (D, anti-codon, and T loops). The record is from Rfam by way of RNAcentral. RNAcentral also lists the same sequence under 5 other names. Lineage: Eukaryota; Metazoa; Chordata; Mammalia; Carnivora; Felidae.